Molecule: ribosomal RNA, 432 nt
Filed under: uncultured bacterium
Lineage: Bacteria
Description: partial 16S ribosomal RNA
Rfam family: Bacterial small subunit ribosomal RNA
Source: RNAcentral
CCUACGGGAGGCAGCAGUGGGGAAUCUUGCGCAAUGCGCGAAAGCGUGACGCAGCAACGCCGCGUGGGGGAAGAAGGCCUUCGGGUUGUAAACCUCUUUCAGUUGGGACGCGGUACCUUCAGAAGAAGCCCCGGCUAACUACGUGCCAGCAGCCGCGGUAAUACGUAGGGGGCAAGCGUUGUCCGGAAUCAUUGGGCGUAAAGAGCGUGUAGGCGGCCCGAUAAGUCCGCUGUGAAAGUCCAGGGCUCAACCCUGGAAUGCCGGUGGAUACUGUCGGGCUCGAAUCCGGAAGAGGUGAGUGGAAUUCCUGGUGUAGCGGUGAAAUGCGCAGAUAUCAGGAGGAACACCAAUGGCGAAGGCAGCUCACUGGGACGGAUUGACGCUGAGACGCGAAAGCGUGGGGAGCAAACAGGAUUAGAUACCCUUGUAGUC